CAUUGAGUCACUCCCCCGGACGCUCAGGUGGCGGCACGGAUCUCUGCCUCUCUGACUGACAUCUGUGGGUGGGUGUCUGCUCAACCAUCAACCACGACAAGACUGAACCACUUCUCCUUCCCGGGAAAAGAUUCUCCGACCCAGGAACUGACGGUUACCUUUGGCAACUCCGUGUUAACGCCCGCUUUGACUGCGAGGAACCUCGGCGUGCCACUCGACAGCCAACUCUCCGUGACUCCCAACGCCAUUGCGACAACACAAUCCUGUAGACACACGCUCUGCAACCUCAGGAGAAUACGUCUCCUCCUCAGAAGGAACUGGAGUCAGGCCGCUGCUGGUGUGCGUGGCAGCGGCGGUGGGGCCUGCCCAGCGUCACUGUCUCCUGCCAACGGGUGUGCCAGCUGGUCACUGCAGUCAUCUUCUCUCUCAACGAGGCGCAGAGGAGGAGCCGCCUUCGCUGACUCAAGAAGAAGAAGAAGAGGGGGG
Gasterosteus aculeatus aculeatus (three-spined stickleback) is the source of this 486-nucleotide long non-coding RNA. The record is from Ensembl. NCBI's taxonomy places the organism in Eukaryota, Metazoa, Chordata, Actinopteri, Perciformes, Gasterosteidae.